CCUACGGGAGGCAGCAGUGGGGAAUAUUGGACAAUGGGCGAAAGCCUGAUCCAGCCAUGCCGCGUGUGUGAAGAAGGUCUUCGGAUUGUAAAGCACUUUAAGUUGGGAGGAAGGGUUGUAGAUUAAUACUCUGCAAUUUUGACGUUACCGACAGAAUAAGCACCGGCUAACUCUGUGCCA
RNAcentral lists this ribosomal RNA (180 nucleotides) under uncultured Pseudomonas sp. RNAcentral's name for it is "partial 16S ribosomal RNA". It matches the Rfam family "Bacterial small subunit ribosomal RNA", at positions 338 to 510 of the family's 1533-position model. The record is from RNAcentral. Lineage: Bacteria; Pseudomonadati; Pseudomonadota; Gammaproteobacteria; Pseudomonadales; Pseudomonadaceae.